Molecule: long non-coding RNA, 9100 nt
Filed under: Mus musculus (house mouse)
Lineage: Eukaryota; Metazoa; Chordata; Mammalia; Rodentia; Muridae
Description: long non-coding RNA chr3:118536514-118545614
Source: RNAcentral
AUUUCAAAUCAAAAGCUACCUUUAAUAUUUUACUGCAAACAAUACUUAAAGACUAAAUUGUAUCCAUUUAGAGUAAUGCUUUUGAAAAAACAUGAAGCACUUUAGCAUUUUAAAAGAACUUCCAUAUUUUGUACUAUUGAUGCUAAAAAAGACAAACCUAAAAUAUGUAGACAUUCUGUGUCUUAGGAACACCAUAGUUAUAUGUUUUGGUUUCCUUAUUAAGUUAGAGUUUGUGGCUACAUGUUUCAGUCAGAAAUGGAUCGCGAGCAACGCAAUGACAUUUAUACUGUGAGAAAUCAUAGGACCAACUAAUAAUUCCAUUCUGGUCACAGGAAAAAAAACACCAUGGAAUCCUGCACUUAAAAAUGCAGGAAUCAUAUAGAGACACCAAAGCCCAUAAAACUUUACCUGUUCAUAAAGACUCUUGCCAAUUUCUGCAAACCGGGACAUACAGCGUAUCUAGGUAAUCUGAGACAAGACUCUUGCCAAUUUCUGCAAACCUGGACAUACAGCGUAUCUAGGUAAUCUGAGACAAGACUCUUGCCAAUUUCUGCAAACCUGGACAUACAGCGUAUCUAGGUAAUCUGAGACUGAAUUUUUUUCCUAGGUAACACUCAGCUCACUGGCAAGCUCUCAUAGCUCAUGUGGAAAUUAUCUUUUGGAAGUUCAAAAUUCAUUUGCCUACAAAAAUAAUUAAUAUAUUUAACUUUCCAUGCCAUCUUGUGUAACCAAAUAUAUAGCUCAAAAUGAUGCAUAAGACAUAAAUUCUGAAGCUUUCAGUGUAUAUAUAUAUAUCUCCAAACCUGGGGGCCAAACAUACACUAUCCCUUUCCCAUAUAACCGUUUUAAUUUCCUUGCAAGCUCUAUAGGGUUGGGAACAUAGUAGGUGCUUUAUCUCAUUAUUUUUCAAAACUAAACCAACACUCAAAAAUGUACUGGUUUAAAAUAGCAUCUUCUUAAUUUGAUUGCAGUGUUGUGGUUUGGGCUGGGCUCAGUCUCAGAUUCUGCUUGUUGUUUUCUUUUGUUUUUUUGUUUUUUGUUUUUUGUUUUUUUUUGAGGAUCCUUUUAUGGGUAAAUUCAGUUAUGUCAGAGAUGGACAGAAGAGAGGUUGAGAGGUCAAGCCAACCCUCUAGUCCAUGUAGUCACUGAGUUCUAUUCUCUUUGCUGUUUCUCAUGUGGAAUCUUUCAAGGUGAAGCCAGAUCUCUGACUUGGAGAUUACAGGCUCCUAUGAGAGUGUAUGUGUAGGCUCCCUCUGCCCCCACGUCUGAGGGCUGCUACCCUGUUGCUCUGACAUAUCCUUUUGACACCCACCUCAGUUCUUCAAUCAAGAUCUGAAGGGGGGUUACCAGGAAACUUGUUCACUCUGGGCCACCAAUGGAGCACUCUGUCCCAGGGUGAGUUGGCUGGCUGCCCCAAACCCAGAUGAAUAGGUGCUAAUCUCCUAAUUGCUCGUGCAGGAAAUGAAGCUGGAAGUUUCAUAGUAGGCAAAAGCCAUGAAAGUGUGAAUUAAAUAUUUUUGAGUACACUGGGGAUAUGACUUGAUCAUUUACUCAUUUAUCUGUCUUUGAUUUUUGUUUUGUUUUGUUUUGUUUUGUUUUGUUUUGUUUGUUUUGUUUUGAGACAGUGUCAUAUAUUGUCGCCCAGGAUCUCCUCGAAUUUGCUAUGUCAUCCAAUCUGGCCCCAAAUUGAAAAUUCUUCUUUCUGCCUCACCUUCCUAAGUACUGGGGAUAGAGGCGUGAGUUACCAUGCCUAGCUAAAGUUAGUCUUAAUCUAUAAUUCUUACCAAGGAGAGUUUAACUGAGAUGUUUCACUUCUUGGUGUCAACUCCAGAUGUGUAAUAUUGUAUUGCUUUAUAAAGUAGUACCCCAUACACUUUGAGUAAAUGCACAAAGUACCGGUUUCAACUUCAAAAUUUAUUUUAUUAUUUUUGUGGCUUGAGAUAGAUGUUAAUGAACCUUAAAUAGAAACACACACACACACACACACACACACACACACACACACACACACACACUUGAAGCAUAUCAAACUAGGAGCUGAAAAGGUUAAUAUGUAAUGAUAGUACAAUUACUUGUCAUGUUUUUUUCACAUUGUAAAUAUUAGACUUAAUAGGUUAUAAUAACUAUUAACUUCAGAGUAAAGUGAAAUUCAAAUUGCCCCAAAAGUGAUAUUUCUUCCAGCAUUACCUAUAUAUUAGCAAAAACGUAUUGCUUAGAAUUUAUUGGUUGUGAAGAGCAGGUGUUGACUCUGAUAGCCUGCAUAGUGUUGGACACUUAGAGUAAAAGCAGGCAAACAUCAAUAAAAGACUCUCAGAGUGAGGUUGGUUAUAAAGAGAGUGUAACACAGAGAUACCCUAGAUAUUGAAGAUUUGGGGCAAUGUUGGGGAAGAGAAUUGAGGACCAGUCUUCUUGAAGCAGCUAUUUAACUGAUAUGAACUUCAUUGACUUUCAUCAGUUAUAAAUUUCAUGCUCUCUCUUGCCAUUUUAUACUUUCUAAUCUCCAUUUAUACAAAUGUCUGAAUAUAAUUUCAUAUCAGUCAGGGGCAUUUAAAAUGAGACAUUUCUUAACUGUGUGCAAGUUUCCCACACAGUGCAUGAUAUUGAUUGGUCCUCAGACCAUAAAUGCUUAGAUCCUAUAAAGUCAUUUUGACAACUUAAAGCUCUCUUGUGUGUGGCUUUUCCCACUGAGGAAAUAACUACACAAAGGAAUAUAUGCCUUUUCUUGCACGUGUUGCUAAUAUCCACUUAACAGUGAUGAACUUCACACAUAUAUAUGUAUGCAUUAUAUAUAGUAUGAAUUCAUACUUUAUGUACUUAUUUAACUUUACAAAAUUAAAGAGAUCCUCAUUUUAACAAGUUUUCCCAGCUGUGUUUCUAGUGAUUUCCAAAGGUAAUUGAGAACUCAGUUCUAUAGAAGCAUAUCUAAGUCACACUCAUAGAAAGAUCACAUUUUGACCAUUGGCAGACAUGCUGAUCUAAACCUCAGUGAGUCUUUUAGUCACUGCAGGCUGAUUAGAUGAGGGUAGUAAAAGACAGGCAAUUACAAGUCUUGACCAGAAUAAGGGCAGUUUGAAAUCUCUCUCUCUCUCACACACACACACACACACACACACACACACACACACACACACAUUACUACCAGAAAUAUAAAACAUACAGAUGUUAUUGAAAGCAGUUUGGAAUUUUCUCAAAAGUUAAACUUGGAGACAAAAUAUGACAUGGCAAUUCCACAUCUAGCGAUAUGCUCAAGAGACAACAAAAUACAAGUUCAUGUAAGAUGUGCACUUGAAUAUUGAGAGCACUGUUAUCAUUAUUAGUUAAAGUUAAAGGAUUAAUAUUGGUUUGUGUUGAUUGAUGCAUGUUUCAACAUGGAUAUAUGUUGAAACACUGUGUUAAUAUAAAGAACCCAAAUAUGAAAGGGUGAUAUGGUAUGUAAUUCAGUUUAUAUGCAAUAUUUAGAUAUACAGACAAAACAUAGAUUAGAUGAUCUCAUGGCUAAAGACAAGCAAAUGUGAAAGAACUCUGGUAGAAACAGGGCUUCACUUGGGAAUGCAAAAGCUGCUCUGAAAUCUUUAAGGAUGCUUGUACUAUAUUAUAAAUGUGGUCCAAACACUGAAAGAUACAUGUACAAGGGUGAAUUAGGAUAUAAAAAUUGCAUCUUAACAACGAUCUUUUUAAAAUCACAAAGUCAUAACCAAUUAAAUGCAUGUGCGUUCAUUGAAGUGUAAUGUAUAAUUAUCUCAAACAAAAAAAAUGACCAAAAUACCUCUAAGAAAUGAAAGGUUAAUUAAACUGUCACAUAUCUUUUCAAUGGGAUACUAUGUGGUGAUAAAAAUAACUUAUUAAGAUAUAUAAAAUGUACAUAUUAACAAAUGAAAGAAGUCAUACUGAUAGGCUGCACACUGUAUAUGAUUUUAUUUAUACGACAUUAUGUGAGACAUAACCAUCAGAAUUACUAAAUAAGCCAUGAUUGAUAUUUCCAAGAGAAACCAUAUUUGAAUAAAUAAUUUUAAAUGUUAUCUUAUUUUUAUUUACAUAUAUUUGUAUGUGGAUGUCUUCAGAGAGCACACAAAGUGAUCAGUUUGCAGCUGAAGAUCUAGGUGCUUCUGAGCCACCUGACCUAUGAGCUAAGAACCAAAGUCAGGUCGUCUGCAAGAACAGCAAGCACUUUUAACUACUAAGUGACUGGUUCAAUCUCUUUUAAUGACGAUUCACAGGGGGCAUUUUAGGGUGAGAAAACUACCCUAUAAGAUUGCAAAGUGAUAAAGUUUUAAUAGAUUAUGCAUUUGUCAAAACCUAUAAAACUUCAACACACAAAGAAUAAGCUUUUAUGUAUGCAAAUAAAACCAAAACAAUCCCAGAGAUUCAGAAACCCCAGGGUAGAAUGCAAACUGUGACAAAAGAAGCUAACUGUAUUACAGAAGGGCAUAUUAACCUCAUUGAAGGGAAAAAUGCUAGCUGAAGCAACUUUGGAAAACAGAAUGCAAUGCUAAUGCAAAAGGCACUGCCUCGAAGGAUUAUAGUGUAGCUGUGAAAGUUGUGUUGCAUAAUACAUAGGUUAACAAUUCUGAUUCAGGUAUACAUAGAAUCAAACGAUUAAGUAAAGAGAUAGUGAUCAGUGUUGGGAUGGAUGGUUAUAGAAAAGCAACAUGGUUAAGAUAAUGGAUUGGAGUUGGAGGAAGCUUCAAAACAGACUACUGUUUAUUAGAUAAUUUAAUGUACUUGGUAUAUAUAUAUAUAUGUCAAUACAGAACAUUCCUUGCUUAGUAAGUAUGGGAGGCCUGAAAGAAUGGAAUUCACUUACUAAUAAGUACACUUGGGUAUACAGACAGAAAUUACUAAUGUCAGUUAAAAGAUCUAAGACUCCUUGUAAAUUGCUUAGAAAGGGAACACGCAAUAGCAUCUUGAAGCUCAAUGUAUUCCAAGAAGUAGUUUUACCACACACACACACACACACACACACACACACACACACACAGACAGAGAGAGACAGAGACAGAGAGAGACACAGAGACAGAGAGACAGAGAAACAGAAAGAGACGGAAUGACAGAGAGAGACAAGACAGAAAAAGCAGAGACACAGAGUAAAGACAGACAGACAGAGGAAGAGACAGACAGAAUUAUCCAUUAUGUGAAAAGGACAAAAUGACACAGGAGACUAAAAGGGAUCUCUAAAUCCAAUGCUUAAACAAUUUGAGAAGAACUAUCAAUUAAUAUGUUUUUUUUUAAGCACAAAAUACAAACUUACAUGAGAUCCAUUCUGAUUUAAAUAAUGGACAAAUGGAGGAGGAUUAGCAAAGACUCCAUGUGGAAAAACCACAAGUCCUUUUGCAGUUACUCAGUCCCUCAGCACGGAGCCUAUUUCCGCAGCCUCUGGCAUUUCUGUCUCUGGAAGCCUCCCUCCCUUCUAUCAUAGCUCAGGGCAAGCCCACUCCUGUAUAGGCUUCCAUGACCUAUUCACCUCUCCCUUGAUCACCGUUGAUCUGUCUCUCUUCUAAACAUUGCAUGUGGGAUUUCCGAAGUGAGUUCAAUCUAAAAGCACAGUUCAGGAAAAGAAAGAGAAAUGAGAAGCCCCACGGUAGAGAAAGCUGACUGACACUGUGAGCAAAGCAAUCAAGUUCCCAGUCCACAAUGCAGACUGUCCGUGGCAUUUCCUCUUGAUGUGAAGCUACGAGAAGGGGAGAUGACCCUGGUGGUCUUUUCCUGUCACAGUCCUUAACCUACCUUAAUCACUAGAAUCACACUGACAAUCAGAAUUAACCUUCUCCACAACAGACAAAAUGCUUAUAAAAGCAGUGCUUAAACCCAUGAUUAAAUAAAUGACACAACCCCACCAGCACCCUGUUGAAAAUACCGGGAAUACCUAAGUCUCCUAAUGUUUAAGGUCAAGAAUAAUCAUUGAUAUAUCUGUUUUUUAAGGAGAAUUUGGGCUUUGGCAUCCCAAACCAACAUUGGAUGGUCAGGUUUUGUUAGAUAGUACUACUGACUAGGGUCUCCUUACUGGAUGGUGACCUGGUGACCGGCACAGUGACGUCAGCAGCAAGGUAUGCUGGGCUAUGUUAUUUCUUCCAAUGUGAACCACAAUGUGCAGGCAAAUACACAUAAAUAUAAAACAGUAACACAGAGAGAAAAUCUGCAAUCCAAUAGUAUUUUAACAAAUGCUUCUGCCUUUUGCCCUCUUUCCUCACAAAUUUGCUUUCCCCAAAUCAGCAGAACUACGUCUUCCAUGGGGGCUUAUUAAAAGACAACACUGGUUUGCUAGCUUCCCAUCACAAUUAUGUAAAAGCCCCCUUAUAAAAGGAAGGGCUUAGUUUGGUUUACAAUACAAAGUCCAAGAUACAAUGGCCUCAUUGCUUUGAGUGAGUGAGCACAAGAGGCUGAGAGUAACUGCUCACCUCAUGGCCAGAGAGCAAGAGAACAUAGAGGAGAUAAGUUCGGACAGUCUUUUCAAGGGUAGUGUCAUGAGGAGAUCCCAGUCAGUCCCAUCUGGUCAAGUUUCUACCACCUCCUAACAUCCUCAAGCUGAGAACAAAGUCUCUAACAGACACACUGGCUUCUGAAUGACGUAUUCUAGCAAAACUUGCUCAACUGAUUGGAAACAUCAAUCAAAUUUCGGCUUCUUCAUUUUUCAAAGCCUAGAUUAUAUGGCACAUGUAGGAGACAGGGUGCUGGUGAGUUUUACACUUCCUAUCAUUUCCACCAAAAACUAGAGCUUAGCGUGUUUUAUCUUCUCCCCUCAGUCUCCUUUGGCAUAUUCUCCGUGUGGCUGUGGAAUGAAGCAAGACUAUGUGUUUGGUCUAGUUCACAAGGAGCUUAGAGGUUGCAGGGGACUUGGAAAUAGAAGAAAUAGAAUGGAAGAAAUAGUCUUGUUUUGGAAAUAGAAGCUUUCUAUGACAGCAAAAGUGGACCAGUAAACAGGAUGGAUAAUGCUCUCAUCACUCAUCUACCUUCCUUGAAAUGGCAGUUUCUGCUGGCUUUGCCCUCCUUCCAGAGACAUUGGGCCUUUCUCAGCAGCCCAGUACUAGAAGAACUCUGCAUGAAAAACAGAAGUGGCAAAAGAGUCAAUGAUAUUUCACUCUCACCUUUCAAUUGAUGAGGAAAUCAAAAUUUAUUUUUUUCCAUUGUAAAGCAGAGUUACAUUUUGAUGGACUUAACACCAAUGUAGAGCUAAGAGUUGGGGACUUGCUCAGAGAGUACAGAUACUGGCUGCCAAACCUGACCUUCAUUUGAUACCCAGAGCCCAUGUGGCUCAAGAGGAAAAUUGAAGAACUGAAUCACUAUCAGCUAUCCUCUGACCUAUACACGUAUUUUACACAUUGAUACACAUGUGUAUGGACACUCACGGACACCCAUAAAUGUAAUUAAUAUAAACACUUAAAUAAAAGGUCUUUAUUGAGCUUCCAAAUAUGAAAGAACUAUUAAAUAUACAGCUGGAUGCAUUAUAUUAAAGGAGGACACUGAGAAUUGUCUGUGUGAAAUUGUCCAUGCCUUACUAUUUCAUCUCUAUUAUCACCCCUUGGGUAUCACCCCACCCUGGGAUAUCUAGCCCCAGCAGGACUAAGCACCUCCUCUCUCACUGAAACCCAACCAGGCAGUUCAGAUAAGGGAAGGGGAUCCAAUGACAGGCAACAGAAUCAGUCAGUCCCCGAUCCUGUUCUAAUUGUUAGGGACCCACAUGAAGACCAAGCUGCACAUCUACUACAAAUGGGGACCUAGGUCCAGCCCCUGCAUGCUCUGCUGGUUGGUGGCUCAGUCUCUCUGAGCCCCCCAUCCCCCCAUGGGUCUAGGUUAGUUGAUUCUGCAGGUCUUUUUGUUGUAUCUUUGACUGGUUUGCUCAAUUCUGUUUCCCACUUUUCCAUAUGACUCUCAAGCCUUCUGCCUGAUGUUUGUCUUUGGGUCUCUGCAUCUGUUUCCAUCAGCUGCUGGAUGAAUCCCCCCCCCCAGGAGACAGUUAUGGUAUGUUCCUGUCUGCAAACAUAGCAGUUUCAUUAAUAGUGUCAGUAUUUGGCACUCUCCCAUGAAAUGGGUCUCAAGGUAGGCCAAUCUUUGGAUGACCGUUCUCUGGUUUCUCCUCCAUCUUUAUCCCUGUGUAUCUUGUAGGAGGCAGUCACAUUUUGAGUUGAAGGUUUUGUAGGUGGGUUGAUGCUCCCCUCCUUCAACCUGUCUGGCUAUAGGAAGUGGCCAUUUCAGUCUCUGUAUACCCACUGGUAGGAAUAUCAACUAGAGUCACCUUCAUAGGCUCUCCAUAGCCUCUCUUGUCUCAGAUCUCCAGCUGGUCCCAGAGUUGCUCCCCACCAAUUAAGUUCUGCAUCUUGAUAACCUGCUUUAAUACCUGAGAAAAUGACAUGCUAACAUUUAAACACCAAAAGCAUCUGACAUUUGGCAGCCUAGAUCUCUGAGUACUUUAGAUCUUUGCCAGUCCCAAUGGGAUAUAUCACAUGAAACAGACAUAAAUAAAUGUGCCUGGGUAUUAAGCCUUUGAAAUAUGUGCAGUAAUUUGUUACUACAGAAGUAGUAGUUUAUACAUGUAAAGAUAGUACAGAAAGCACACAAUUAAGUCCCAGAUGCCAGGAAAGCAAGAGCCUCCCAGGACCCCACGGAAAUGACAUCAGCUAAUAUACCCCACAAAGAGGAGGGAGAACCUGGUAUCACCAUAUGGAGAGGUUAGGCAUGGCCCCAGGUUGAGAGAUGGGGCCACUCACCCACCUCCAAGAUUUUAACCCUGAAUUGCUCCUGUUUAAAGGAAAUAUAGGGACAAAGAGUGGAGCAGAAAGUGAAGGAAAGGCCAUCUAGUGACUGCUCCAUCUGGGGAUCCAUCCCACAUGCACACACCAAACCCAGACAUUAUUGCUUAUGCCAAGAAGUGCUUGCUGACAGGAGCCUGACACAGCUGUCUCCUGAGUGGGCUCUACCAGAUCCUGACCAAUAGAGAUGAAGAUGCUUGCAGCCAAUCAUCAGACUGAGCACAGGGACCUCAAUGGAGGAGUUAGGGGAAGGACUGAAGGAGCAGAAGGUGCCUUAUCUGGCAUCAAUGGGAGGGGAGGCUCUAGGUCUGUCAGUGAAGGCUUAAUGCCUCAGUGUAGAGGAAUGCUAGGGCAGU